Molecule: ribosomal RNA, 253 nt
Filed under: uncultured bacterium
Lineage: Bacteria
Description: partial 16S ribosomal RNA
Rfam family: Bacterial small subunit ribosomal RNA
Source: RNAcentral
UACAGAGGGGGCAAGCGUUGUUCGGAAUUACUGGGCGUAAAGGGCGCGUAGGCGGCCGCCUAAGUCAGACGUGAAAUCCCUCAGCUUAACUGGGGAACUGCGUCUGAGACUGGAUGGCUUGAGUGCAGGAGAGGAACGCGGAAUUCCAGGUGUAGCGGUGAAAUGCGUAGAUAUCUGGAGGAACACCGGUGGCGAAGGCGGCGUUCUGGACUGCAACUGACACUGAGGAACGAAAGCCAGGGGAGCAAACGGG